Molecule: transfer RNA, 75 nt
Filed under: Phycisphaerae bacterium
Lineage: Bacteria; Pseudomonadati; Planctomycetota; Phycisphaerae
Description: tRNA-Thr
Rfam family: tRNA
About the family: Transfer RNA (tRNA) molecules are approximately 80 nucleotides in length. Their secondary structure includes four short double-helical elements and three loops (D, anti-codon, and T loops). Further hydrogen bonds mediate the characteristic L-shaped molecular structure. tRNAs have two regions of fundamental functional importance: the anti-codon, which is responsible for specific mRNA codon recognition, and the 3' end, to which the tRNAs corresponding amino acid is attached (by aminoacyl-tRNA synthetases). tRNAs cope with the degeneracy of the genetic code in two manners: having more than one tRNA (with a specific anti-codon) for a particular amino acid; and 'wobble' base-pairing, i.e. permitting non-standard base-pairing at the 3rd anti-codon position.
Source: RNAcentral
GCUGGCGUAGCUCAAUGGUAGAGCACCGGUUUUGUAAACCGGCGGUUGCCGGUUCAAGUCCGGCCGCCAGCUCCA